Molecule: ribosomal RNA, 251 nt
Filed under: uncultured prokaryote
Description: partial 16S rRNA
Rfam family: Bacterial small subunit ribosomal RNA
Source: RNAcentral
ACGGAGGAUGCGAGCGUUAUCCGGAUUUAUUGGGUUUAAAGGGUGCGUAGGUGGACUGUUUAGUCAGUGGUGAAAUGCUGAUGCUCAACGUUAGCAUUGCCGUUGAAACUGACAGUCUUGAGAGUGAUUGAGGCAGGCGGAAUGUGUGGUGUAGGGGUGAAAAAAAAAGAUAUCACGCAGAACACCAAUGGCGAAGGCAGCUUGCAAAGCCACAACUGACACUGAAGCACGAAAGCGUGGGGAUCAAACAG